CCUACGGGAGGCAGCAGUAAGGAAUAUUGGUCAAUGGACGAAAGUCUGAACCAGCCAUGCCGCGUGAAGGAUUAAGGUCCUCUGGAUUGUAAACUUCUUUUAUAGGGGACGAAAAAAGGGCAUUCUUGCUCUCUUGACGGUACCCUGUGAAUAAGCACCGGCUAACUCCGUGCCAGCAGCCGCGGUAAUACGGAGGGUGCAAGCGUUAUCCGGAUUCACUGGGUUUAAAGGGUGCGUAGGCGGGUAGGUAAGUCAGUGGUGAAAUCUCGGAGCUUAACUCCGAAACUGCCAUUGAUACUAUCUAUCUUGAAUAUUGUGGAGGUUUGCGGAAUAUGUCAUGUAGCGGUGAAAUGCAUAGAUAUGACAUAGAACACCUAUUGCGAAGGCAGCAGGCUACACAUAUAUUGACGCUGAGGCACGAAAGCGUGGGGAUCAAACAGGAUUAGAUACCCUGGUAGUCCACGCCCUAAACCGAUGAUUACUCGACAUACGUGAUACACUAUGUGUGUCUGNGNGAAGANAUAGUAAUACACCNGGAGUACGUCCGCGAGAGAGAACGUACGAAGAAGUAGACGGACGUUAGAGACGNGCCGACGGACGACGACGAGGGAGGAGG
This 616-nucleotide ribosomal RNA is filed under the name uncultured bacterium. RNAcentral describes it as "bacterial SSU rRNA". The stretch from base 1 to 534 matches the Rfam family "Bacterial small subunit ribosomal RNA", at positions 338 to 873 of the family's 1533-position model. The record is from RNAcentral.